Molecule: ribosomal RNA, 497 nt
Filed under: uncultured bacterium
Lineage: Bacteria
Description: partial 16S ribosomal RNA
Rfam family: Bacterial small subunit ribosomal RNA
Source: RNAcentral
GAUGAACGCUGGCGGCGUGCCUAAUACAUGCAAGUCGAGCGAACAGACGAGGAGCUUGCUCCUCUGACGUUAGCGGCGGACGGGUGAGUAACACGUGGAUAACCUACCUAUAAGACUGGGAUAACUUCGGGAGACCGGAGCUAAUACCGGAUAAUAUAUUGAACCGCAUGGUUCAAUAGUGAAAGACGGUUUUGCUGUCACUUAUAGAUGGAUCCGCGCCGCAUUAGCUAGUUGGUAAGGUAACGGCUUACCAAGGCAACGAUGCGUAGCCGACCUGAGAGGGUGAUCGGCCACACUGGAACUGAGAAACGGUCCAGACUCCUAGGGGGGGAAGCAGUAGGGAAUCUUCCGCAAUGGGCGAAAGCCUGACGGAGCAACGCCGCGUGAGUGAUGAAGGUCUUAGGAUCGUAAAACUCUGUUAUUAGGGAAGAACAAAUGUGUAAGUAACUAUGCACGUCUUGACGGUACCUAAUCAGAAAGCCACGGCUAACUACGUG